ACGCUCGACACCUGGGAGGCAGCAGUGAGGGAUAUUGGUCAAUGGGGGAAACCCUGAACCAGCAACGCCGCGUGAGGGAUGACGGUCUUCGGAUUGUAAACCUCUGUCCUCUGUGAAGAUAAUGACGGUAGCAGAGGAGGAAGCUCCGGCUAACUACGUGCCAACAGCCGCGGUAAUCUGAGCGGGCUGGCAAGGC
This 196-nucleotide ribosomal RNA is filed under the name uncultured bacterium. Its description in RNAcentral is "partial 16S ribosomal RNA". It matches the Rfam family "Bacterial small subunit ribosomal RNA", at positions 328 to 539 of the family's 1533-position model. The record is from RNAcentral.